This 208-nucleotide long non-coding RNA is filed under the name Vigna radiata. RNAcentral describes it as "long non-coding RNA (VRAD_LNC000551)". The record is from RNAcentral. Lineage: Eukaryota; Viridiplantae; Streptophyta; Magnoliopsida; Fabales; Fabaceae.
UUGAAUUCACGUAAAUAAUUUAUUAUAAUAUAUAUAAAACCUUAUAUUCCAGAAGAAGUUGAAUUCACAUGUAUAAUAUAUUAUAAUAUAUAAAACCUUAGGUGCAGAAGUUGAAUUCAGGCCAUUCCCAUGCAAAUUUCUCUACUGUUUCUUUCUUCUAUUAUCUAAAACAUUCCAAUACUCUCCCUUUCUCUUCUCUCAUGACACC